This 68-nucleotide transfer RNA is filed under the name Pseudomyrmex gracilis. Its description in RNAcentral is "tRNA-Leu". Lineage: Eukaryota; Metazoa; Arthropoda; Insecta; Hymenoptera; Formicidae. The record is from RNAcentral.
AUUAUUUUGGCAGAAUAAGUGCAUUAAAUUUAGAAUUUAAUUAUAUAUACAUUUGUAUAUAAGUAAUA